CUCUUAUCAAGAGCGGCGGAGGGAUAGGCCCUAUGAUGCCCAGCAACCAGUAAGUGAUGAACUUACUAAGGUGCUAAUUCCUACAGAUUCUUACUUGGAUCUGGCAGAUAAGGG
Non-coding RNA from Lysinibacillus sp. F5, 114 nucleotides. The record is from Rfam. Lineage: Bacteria; Bacillati; Bacillota; Bacilli; Caryophanales; Bacillaceae.